RNAcentral lists this ribosomal RNA (468 nucleotides) under uncultured bacterium. Its description in RNAcentral is "partial 16S ribosomal RNA". It matches the Rfam family "Bacterial small subunit ribosomal RNA", at positions 28 to 507 of the family's 1533-position model. The record is from RNAcentral.
GACGAACGCUGGCGGCGUGCUUAACACAUGCAAGUCGAACGGAAAGGCCCUGCUUUUGUGGGGUGCUCGAUUGGCGAACGGGUGCGUAACACGUGAGUAACCUGCCCUUGACUUUGGGGUAACUUCAGGAAACUGGGGGUACUACCGGACCGGAGCUCCUGCUGCAUGGUGGGGGUUGGAACGUUUCGGCGGUUGGGGAUGGACUCGCGGCUUAUCAGUUUGUUGGUGGGGUAGUGGCUUACCAAGGCUUUGACGGGUAGCCGGCCUGAGAGGGAGACCGGACACAUUGGGACUGAGAUAAGGCGCAGACUCGUACGGGAGGCAGCAGUGGGGAGUAUUGCACAAUGGGCGGAAGCCUGAUGCGGCGACGCCGCGUGCGGGAGGACGGCCUUCGGGGUGUAAACCGCGUUCGCCUGUGACGAAGCGUGAGUGACGGUAAUGGGUAAAGAAGCACCGGCUAACUCCGUG